UUCUCACCCGAAAUUCUUUUCCACCACCGCCGUCUGAAAUGGGAAACUAACUGCAUACAUGUACCUCAGGAGGAUUAAUCGAUCUCAACGUACGCCUACCAGCUGCAAGAGAAAUAUGCUUGUAAAUCAAUGAUAGCCAAAUGAAAUUUGAAGAUCUAAGAAGACAAGUACAGAUCAACAUACGCCUAUCUAAUAAACCAGGAAAGGGGUCAUUUGAAGAUGGCAGUAGCAAAGAUAGUUGCUUAUCAUCCUAAUGUCUUAUUGGUUGAGCAUAUCUCUUUAUGUCAAUAUCAAGAGGCCUCUGUUAGAGCAUAUAAAGCGCUGCACAAAUAGUUCCUUCGGUGGAUCAUCUUUUGUCUCAAAAGCCGGGUUAUUGUGAAGCAUUCCAUCUGGAGAAGUUCCUUGAAGCACAUGGGAGUGCUGGGCAGGGAGGAAAAGAAUUGGUGAAGACACUUAUGUUCGUUGAUGGGUGCCUCGACCCAUUGGGUUGUACAAUCUUUCUAAAGUGCAUCAUGGCGAUGAGCUGAAAAAAGUUAAACACGUUCUCCAGUUUGCGUCUUUGCAGCGUAUCACUUUCAUUGGAGACUUCUUUUCUUGCUGAUGAAAAUGGCUCUCUUCCAUAACAUCCAUUGAAGUCUCUCAUAAUUGGCGCCUUGCCCGAUAAACCAUCCAGUAUUAAAUGUCAAUAUCUACUAUACCUGGAUUCGCGGUUGUCCCUACCACAUCCAAACCUAGUCUCAUCCGAGAUAACCUCCCCAGGCGCUAUCUGCAAUCAAAACUUGGAUUUUGGCCAAUCUUCCGGUUUGUCUAAAUUCCCCGCUUGUCAAUACACAGAGGUGACCUGCAGCUUAAUGGCAUAUCCCUCUUCUUCUUCUUCGUUCUACCUACUCCAGCGAAUUAUGUCUCUGGUUUGGUCCGAAAUUAGCCAUAUUGUCCAUCUGAGGUGAAACAUUAAGCAGAAUUUCGAGAUUCUAUGGAUACCGAUGCUUCUGCAUCAAAUAGUUGAUAGGGAAUUGGUGGUAGUCCACUUGCUAAAAGUGCUGAGUUGUUGGGAAGAAAGAUGCAUUAUUUAUUGGUUCCCAAAGAAGCUAUACGAUUACCUAAUGAUUGUGGGUAAUGCAACUGCUAAGGCGAGGUAGUUAUAUUAUACAAGAUAUAAAUGAAACAACCACAUAUAAAGUCAACAUCUUUACAGAAAGACCUUGUAAUCACCUUGACAAGCUAGGACCUUCCAAAGACGAUUUUCCUCCACUCCCUUCGGGCCAUCAAGCAUCUUGGUUUCAUCAUCAAUCUGGAGUAGUGUGGAAAGGAGCUGUUUGUGAACAGGCUCAUUUCUUGCGUUUCAAGUACCAUGCCAGCUUUGACAAGCCCUUGGGGAGGUCUCUAUGAGACAAUUUAUUUGCUCAGCAUAUCACUUGGCACUGGAGACUUCUUUUCGUGCUGAUGAAGGUGCAUCUCUUCCAGAACUUCCUCCGAAGUCUCCCAUAACUAUUGCCUGGCCCGAUAAACCUUCUAGUAUUGAUAGGUCAGUGUCUACUAUACCUGGAUUCGCGGUUGUUCCUACCACUUCCAAGCCUCAGGGUUCUCCAUCGAAUAUUGAUUCACAAUCUGAAAUAACCUCUCCAGCCUCUCCCCGCAAAAGCUUGGUUUUUGCCCAAUCGUCCGGUUUGUCCAAGUUUCCCACUUCUCAAUACAGAGAGGUAACCUCCAGCUUAAUGGCUUAUCCCUCUUCUUCUUCAUUGUGACCUACUCCGGCGAAUUAUGUCUCUGGUCCGUUGCGAAAUGAGCCAUAUCACCCAUAUGAAACAUAUAACAGAAUUUCUAGAUUCUAUGGAGACCGAUGCCUCUGCAUUUAACAUUUGCCUGGGAAUUGGUGGUAAUCCUCUUGCUAAGAAUGCUGAGUUGUUGGGUGGGGGGUGGGGAAAGAAGCUAAUGAUAAAUGAAACAGCCACAUUUAGGUCAACAUCUUUUCAGCAAGACCUCGUAAUCACCUUGACUAGCCAGGAUCUUCCAAACAAGAUUUUCCUCAAUCACUUUCGGACCAUCAAAGCAUCUUGGUUUCAUUGUCAAUCCGGAAUGUCUGGAAAGGAACCGUUUGUGAACGGGCUCAUCUCUUGCGUAUGAAAUACUAUGGCAGAUUUGGCAAGACCUUGGGGAGGUUUCUCAGAGACAAUUUAUUAGCUCAGAGCUCGAGGGACAGCUUAACCUCGCAAAUGAGAAACUUGAAAAGGCUCAAUCUUCCCUAGUGUACCAGGAGGGUCAAACCAAGUAUUUCGAAGGGCUGGAUGGAUCUAGGGAUGCAGCGGCGAAGGAAGCAGCCCAGGAGGUGGCCCGCUUGACAUCUCUGUUGUCGCAAUCCGAGCUCAAAGCUACCAUGAU
Long non-coding RNA from Papaver somniferum (opium poppy), 2379 nucleotides. RefSeq lists it as uncharacterized. The transcript has 5 exons. NCBI's taxonomy places the organism in Eukaryota, Viridiplantae, Streptophyta, Magnoliopsida, Ranunculales, Papaveraceae. The record is from RefSeq and is a predicted model, not a curated record.